UCUAAGGGGAUGAUAACUGUUUCCACUAUGUGGAGUAACUAACGCUCGUGCCUGAUAUCUGAUGCAAUUGCAACAGCUAUGAACAAGUUUAGCGCUGCGUUGUGCCAGGAGACAGCAUGCCCCCUCCGAAGUUGAGGUAACCUGCGCAUUACUCUCCUCUGUGUGACCGGGCUGCACCAGGCGUGGGGGUCCGUCAUCUGAUCAAGCUGCGAUGGAGGUGGCUAUGGAGGUGGAGGUGGUGGUGCGAUGGAGGUGGCUAUCUGGUCGUGUGACGAAGCUGGAACGAUCUCGUGUGGCCAAGCUGGGGCUGUCUCGUCGUGCGGCGAAGCUGGGACGUUCUCGUCAUGUGACCAAGCUGGGACUGUUUCGUGGGACCGAGCUGUGCUGGAAGCAGCUGUCUCGUCAUGCGGCGAACCUGGGGUGUUCUCGCCGUGCGACCAAGCUGGGGCCGUCUCGUGGGACCGAGUUGCGCUGGAGGUGAAGAUGCCCUAGCAAGACCAAGUGACGACAGUCUCGUACGCGGAGCCUGCGUUGUGGGCUGGCGGCUUGUCACGUGACCAAGCUACGGCGCUCUCGUCCCGUCACUGCGCCGUGCUGUAGGUGACGAUCUUGUGUUAGCAAAUAGCGGUGGUCUGGCGUGACCGGGCCGCGUUGGCCGCGACGGGCCUGUCGUCUGGCGGCCCCGGCAGCCGAGUGCUGCUGCUGUGUAGAGAGCGUCUGGGCUGGGGUUUGAGGUGUGGGGCGCGCGCCCCUACCCGCUACGCGCACACUCCAUGAACUGUGCGCGUUCAUGGCAUGUUGGAUCUGAACAAGGUAGCGGAGGUGGGCUGUGCCACCCUGUCAGUGCACGCACGUGCGUCGUCUGUGUGGCGUUGUAGCGUCAGACCCGCCGAUUUAAAAGAUCGCGAACGCGGGAGACUGGUAAGCGUUUCGACGCGUGUUGUGCCUUGUCAAAAGGGAUGUUUUGUGUAAAGAAGGUUUCUCAGUUCGUCGUUUAUGCUGCCUGAAGCCUCAUAAAGAUGUCGGCCAUCAUUUUUAUGUGAGCUGCCUGAUAAACAUUCUAUAUCGCUUCUAUAUCAGGUAUUUUCAUGGUCGCCUCAUGACAUGCCAUAGUUUGAAUGAAUCAGACGACGUUUUGUCUUCGCUUUCGAUUUUUAUUAUCGUGUGGGUGGGGCGUGCGUGUGAGUCCGACGUGCUUUUAGCGCUCGUCGGAAGACCUUCUCGGGGUAUACUGCUGAGACGCCGGCGUUUGUCGAGCGCGGCCGUGACUAUCGAGGCCUUUGAGGCUUAGAGGCUUUGGUCUAAUUUCAUUUUGUUUGGGAGACAGUGGCCGAGUGCAUUGAUAUGUCACCUGGACUGAUAUAAAUUCGAAUGUGUG
Long non-coding RNA from Pollicipes pollicipes, 1378 nucleotides. RefSeq lists it as uncharacterized. The record is from RefSeq and is a predicted model, not a curated record. NCBI's taxonomy places the organism in Eukaryota, Metazoa, Arthropoda, Thecostraca, Pollicipedomorpha, Pollicipedidae. The transcript is spliced from 2 exons.